CGGGACGGGUGAGUAAUGUCUGGGAAACUGCCCGAUGGAGGGGGAUAACUACUGGAAACGGUAGCUAAUACCGCAUAACGUCGCAAGACCAAGAGGGGACCUUCGGGCCUCUUGCCAUCGGAUGUGCCCAGAUGGGAUUAGCUAGUAGGUGGGGUAAUGGCUCACCUAGGCGACGAUCCCUAGCUGGUCUGAGAGGAUGACCAGCCACACUGGAACUGAGACACGGUCCAG
Molecule: ribosomal RNA, 231 nt
Filed under: uncultured bacterium
Lineage: Bacteria
Description: partial 16S ribosomal RNA
Rfam family: Bacterial small subunit ribosomal RNA
Source: RNAcentral